GACGAACGCUGGCGGCGCGCUUAACACAUGCAAGUCGAGCGAGAACCAUGGCUUCGGCCAUGGGGAUAGCGGCGAACGGGUGAGUAACACGUGAGUAAUCUGCCCUCGACACUGGGAUAGCCCGGGGAAACCCGGAUUAAUACCGGAUAGCCUCUAGAACUCUCGGGUUCUUGAGAAAAGAUGGCUUCGGCUUUCGGUUGAGGAGGAGCUUGCGGCGGAUUAGCUUGUUGGCGGGGAAAGGCCCACCAAGGCGACGAUCCGUAGCUGGUCUGAGAGGACGAUCAGCCACACUGGGACUGAGACACGGCCCAGACUCCUACGGGAGGCAGCAGUGGGGAAUCUUGCGCAA
This 349-nucleotide ribosomal RNA is filed under the name uncultured bacterium. Its description in RNAcentral is "bacterial SSU rRNA". It matches the Rfam family "Bacterial small subunit ribosomal RNA", at positions 28 to 371 of the family's 1533-position model. The record is from RNAcentral.